RNAcentral lists this ribosomal RNA (209 nucleotides) under Marichromatium sp. JA121. RNAcentral's name for it is "partial 16S ribosomal RNA". It matches the Rfam family "Bacterial small subunit ribosomal RNA", at positions 1124 to 1332 of the family's 1533-position model. The record is from RNAcentral. Lineage: Bacteria; Pseudomonadati; Pseudomonadota; Gammaproteobacteria; Chromatiales; Chromatiaceae.
CGUCAUGGUGGGAACUCUAAGGAGACUGCCGGUGAUAAACCGGAGGAAGGUGGGGAUGACGUCAAGUCAUCAUGGCCCUUAUGGGCUGGGCUACACACGUGCUACAAUGGUCGGUACAGAGGGUUGCAAAGCGGCGACGUGGAGCUAAUCUCAGAAAACCGGUCGUAGUCCGGAUUGCAGUCUGCAACUCGACUGCAUGAAGUCGGAAU